Molecule: transfer RNA, 82 nt
Filed under: Encephalitozoon cuniculi
Lineage: Eukaryota; Fungi; Microsporidia; Unikaryonidae
Also listed under: 2 other names
Description: tRNA-Leu
Rfam family: tRNA
About the family: Transfer RNA (tRNA) molecules are approximately 80 nucleotides in length.
Source: RNAcentral
GGGACUUUGGCCGAGUGGUCUAAGGCGCUCGAUUCAAGACUGAGUACGGUAACGUUCGGGGGUUCGAAUCCCCCAGGUCCCA